GGGAGGCGGAAGUGCGACCAAGUUGCCGCGGCUUUGGCCUCCCCAGGUUUCCGUCUUUCUCAUCCACUACCCAACUCCGAAUGUGAAUGUUAUAAGCCUGAACAAAAUAAAUAUAACUAAACAAUUGUGAAGAGGUCCCAGAAAGCAUACAUCUGCUCCUCCAGCUCUUGUUCUGCUGAGCUGGUAUGAUUGGAGAAGGGCUCUGCUGAAGGCCAGAGAUCUCCAUGCACUGUGGGAGGAAACUUCUGGAAGGACAGAUGACGCAACGGACCACUGAUGUAGGGACAGAAACUUGGAAGUGCAGAAGAGUUCAAAUAGGGUUUUAACAAGUUUUUCUGUGUGAUAAGGAAUAUCAACAGUGCUUUUGCAAUUAGAUAAGCUUUACUGACAUCUGAGAACAGGUAGAGCAAGAACAAAAUGGGCUGGGCAUUUGAAUUACAGCACUUUUUAACUUUU
This is a non-coding RNA of Callorhinus ursinus (northern fur seal), 456 nucleotides long. The record is from RefSeq and is a predicted model, not a curated record. NCBI's taxonomy places the organism in Eukaryota, Metazoa, Chordata, Mammalia, Carnivora, Otariidae.